ACACGACUACAUUAGAUACCCGGGUAGUCCUAGCCGUAAACGAUACUCGCUAGGUGUCGGCCACGGUGCGACCGUUGUCGGUGCCGUAGGGAAGCCGUGAAGCGAGCCACCUGGGAAGUACGGCCGCAAGGCUGAAACUUAAAGGAAUUGGCGGGGGAGGCACCACAACGGGUGGAGCUUGCGGUUUAAUUGGAUUCAACGCCGGAAAUCUUACCGGGACCGACAGCAACAUGAAGGCCAGGCUGAAGACUUUGCCGGAUUAGCUG
RNAcentral lists this ribosomal RNA (266 nucleotides) under uncultured archaeon. RNAcentral describes it as "partial 16S ribosomal RNA". It matches the Rfam family "Archaeal small subunit ribosomal RNA", at positions 717 to 982 of the family's 1478-position model. The record is from RNAcentral.